This 740-nucleotide ribosomal RNA is filed under the name Kellermania macrospora. RNAcentral describes it as "SSU rRNA". It matches the Rfam family "Bacterial small subunit ribosomal RNA", at positions 366 to 1169 of the family's 1533-position model. Lineage: Eukaryota; Fungi; Ascomycota; Dothideomycetes; Botryosphaeriales; Planistromellaceae. The record is from RNAcentral.
UGUCAAUGGCCUAACGGCUGAACCAGCAACUUGGGGGAAUGGAUAUAUAUAUUAGAGAUAAUAUAUAGUACCGACUCUGUCGGAUAAAGUUCUAGAUAAAAUAAUGAUAAUGACAAUUUUUUAUCUAUAUGUCUUGACCAAAUCUUGUGCCAGCAGUCGCGGUAACACAAGGGAGACUGGUGUUAUUCAUCUUUAUUAGGUUUAAAGGGUACCUAGACGGUAUAUCAAGCCCCAAAAGGGAACUGAUAUACUAGAGUUUUAUAUGAGAGGCAAAUAUAGUACUAUUGGUGUAGAGAUAAAAUUUUGUAAUACCUCUAGGCACGGAUAACGGCGAAGGCAAUCCUCUAUGUAAAAACUGACGUUGAGGGACGAAGGCUUGGGGAGCGAAUAGGAUUAGAUACCCUAGUAGUCCAAGCAGACAAUUAUGAAUGUCAUAGAUAAGAAAUGUCUUUUUAUCUAUAAAUGAAAGUGUAAGCAUUCCACCUCAAGAGUAAUGCGGCAACGCAGGAACUGAAAUCAUUAGACCGUUUCUGAAACCAGUAGUGAAGUAUGUUAUUUAAUUAGACGCCACUCCAAUAACCUUACCACAAUUUGAAUGUUAAUUAAUAAAUUAACACAGGCGUUGCAUGGCUGUCUUCAGUUAAUGUCGUGAGAUUUGGUUAGUUCCAAAAAAUUAACGUAAACCCUUGUUCUUUAUUUGUUUGAAUAAUGCAGUUAACCGCUAUAUUGGAUUAUAUAAC